ACGCUCGACACCUACGGGAGGCGGCAGUGGGGAAUAUUGCACAAUGGGGGAAACCCUGAUGCAGCGACGCCGCGUGAGUGAAGAAGUAUUUCGGUAUGUAAAGCUCUAUCAGCAGGGAAGAAGAUGACGGUACCUGAGUAAGAAGCCCCGGCUAACUACGUGCCAGCAGCCGNGGUAAUCUGAGCGGGCUGGCAAGGC
This 198-nucleotide ribosomal RNA is filed under the name uncultured bacterium. RNAcentral describes it as "partial 16S ribosomal RNA". It matches the Rfam family "Bacterial small subunit ribosomal RNA", at positions 328 to 539 of the family's 1533-position model. The record is from RNAcentral.